CCGCGAGGUGGAGCCAAUCCUCAAAGUUGGUCUCAGUUCAGAUUGCAGGCUGCAACCCGCCUGCAUGAAGAUGGAGUUGCUAGUAACCGCAGGUCAGCUAUACUGCGGUGAAUACGUUCCCGGGGCUU
RNAcentral lists this ribosomal RNA (128 nucleotides) under uncultured Leptolinea sp. Its description in RNAcentral is "partial 16S ribosomal RNA". It matches the Rfam family "Bacterial small subunit ribosomal RNA", at positions 1255 to 1382 of the family's 1533-position model. Lineage: Bacteria; Bacillati; Chloroflexota; Anaerolineae; Anaerolineales; Anaerolineaceae. The record is from RNAcentral.